This is a long non-coding RNA of Pseudophryne corroboree (corroboree frog), 344 nucleotides long. RefSeq lists it as uncharacterized. The record is from RefSeq and is a predicted model, not a curated record. Lineage: Eukaryota; Metazoa; Chordata; Amphibia; Anura; Myobatrachidae. The transcript is spliced from 4 exons.
AUUUGGCUCUGGACACUUGAGCAACUGAGUGUCUGACACAUGUACAGAGGCCACAAGCUGCCAUGAGCUAUUUCUACAUGUAACUAGCUUCCCCUACGUUAUAGGCUUUUUAACUUCAUUAUGUGAUCAGGCAUGUUGCCAACUUUGAAGGCCAUUCCACGCAUCUGAGUGAUCUGGCUUGCCGUCCAGGUGAUUUAAGUGCCAAUCUUGAUAAAGGUCCGCAUAAGGACCGAAACGUCGAUGAAAUACGGCAUCAACAGUGAACCCGAAUAAAAAUAUACUGAAUUUACAAGUGACUUCAGAGACUAAUUUCUGGGCGUGAGUGCACCUUCCACCUAGGUGGU